AGCCUGUUAACUCAGUUGGAAGAGUGCCCGGCCUACACCCGGGAUGCGGGGGUUCGAGACCCUCACGGGCUA
This 72-nucleotide transfer RNA is filed under the name Actinomycetota bacterium. RNAcentral describes it as "tRNA-Val". It matches the Rfam family "tRNA". From Rfam's summary of the family: Transfer RNA (tRNA) molecules are approximately 80 nucleotides in length. Their secondary structure includes four short double-helical elements and three loops (D, anti-codon, and T loops). Further hydrogen bonds mediate the characteristic L-shaped molecular structure. tRNAs have two regions of fundamental functional importance: the anti-codon, which is responsible for specific mRNA codon recognition, and the 3' end, to which the tRNAs corresponding amino acid is attached (by aminoacyl-tRNA synthetases). tRNAs cope with the degeneracy of the genetic code in two manners: having more than one tRNA (with a specific anti-codon) for a particular amino acid; and 'wobble' base-pairing, i.e. permitting non-standard base-pairing at the 3rd anti-codon position. The record is from RNAcentral. Lineage: Bacteria; Bacillati; Actinomycetota.